RNAcentral lists this ribosomal RNA (373 nucleotides) under uncultured bacterium. Its description in RNAcentral is "bacterial SSU rRNA". It matches the Rfam family "Bacterial small subunit ribosomal RNA", at positions 523 to 898 of the family's 1533-position model. The record is from RNAcentral.
AUACGGAGGGUGCAAGCGUUAAUCGGAAUCACUGGGCGUAAAGCGCGCGUAGGCCGCUUUGUAAGUCGGACGUGAAAGCCCUCGGCUCAACCGGGGAACUGCGUUCGAUACUGCGAGGCUUGAGUCCUGGAGAGGGUGGCGGAAUUCCGGGUGUAGGAGUGAAAUCCGUAGAUAUCCGGAGGAACACCGGUGGCGAAGGCGGCCACCUGGACAGGUACUGACGCUGAGGCGCGAAAGCGUGGGGAGCAAACAGGAUUAGAUACCCUGGUAGUCCACGCUGUAAACGAUGGAUGCUAGGUGUCGGGGAGCGAUCUUCGGUGCCGGAGUUAACGCAUUAAGCAUCCCGCCUGGGGAGUACGGUCGCAAGGCUGAA